This is a long non-coding RNA of Lolium rigidum, 749 nucleotides long. RefSeq lists it as uncharacterized. The transcript has 3 exons. The record is from RefSeq and is a predicted model, not a curated record. NCBI's taxonomy places the organism in Eukaryota, Viridiplantae, Streptophyta, Magnoliopsida, Poales, Poaceae.
GUAGGCUCGCCGGGUUUUUUUUGCUGAUAAAGAGUUGCCCUCAUGUACCUGAUCAUCUAGUUUGGAUAAUGGACAUUACUGUAUUGGAAUGCAGAGGUUUGAUGGCAUGAUUCUACCUCAUUAUUGUACAGUGCAUUCAACCUGUUGUUGCUUUCUUCCAACCCAGAUUCUUGUGUUUACGGUUGACACCUACUGGUAGUCCUCCUCAGUCCUAACCUGGACGGUAGCGGACGCGUGUAUGUUGCAGAUGGCUCCGAGGCGCUCGAGCAAAUGGCCCCUUCAUCUCCCAUCAAGUGAUCCAAGGAUGGUAAGAAACCUUCACUGGCUUCAACAUCACUGCCCGUGUGAGAUUUACAUAUUUUACUUUUGUGUAUGCUGCAAAUCAGUGCUUGAGUACCCCCGUUCUCUGGCCUUUGCUUUUCUUUCAUUCUGCGAGUAUGUGAAAGUCGUGUUUCUAUAUGCACUGUCCGUGGAAUUUGCUUAGUUAGGUUAUACGCUAAACGAAUACGAAAUCAAGAGAUUUGACAGAUUCAAAGUUCAUCAAGGUCCCUGGAUUCCUUAUCCACUGUGUUGUGCCACAACAUUCUCAGGGUUCCUGAUUUGCUUACAUAUAAGAGUUGCACAUAUAUACAUUCAUGUUUGCAGUACAAUGCAUUCAUGUUUGUUUUCUUGAUGUAGUUCUGCUCAUUUCAAUUGUAUGUUUUGCUUUCCUUAUCCUUUUGUUUUGGUAGAAGAUGCCAUUUGUAUUA